UUUCCGUAGGUGAACCUGCGGAAGGAUCAUUAAUGAGUUGUCAUGGGGUUCGAUGCUGGCAGCCAGUUUUUGGAUGCAUGUGCUUGCCCUAACAAUCAUCUUCUUCCAAACACCUGUGCACAUUUUUGAGGGAGUCUUGAGUUGGUUGCCGCUCUUGGGUGAUUUUCUCACAUUCCCUUAAAUCAUUAUACGCUAUUAACAAUGUUGAACGUGCUCUGUGCCGCAAGGCCAUUAAUAUAAUACAACUUUUAACAAUGGAUCUCUUGGCUCUC
Molecule: unclassified non-coding RNA, 272 nt
Filed under: plant metagenome
Description: partial contains small subunit ribosomal RNA, internal transcribed spacer 1, and 5.8S ribosomal RNA
Source: RNAcentral